CCUACGGGUGGCUGCAGUGGGGAAUAUUGGACAAUGGGGGGAACCCUGAUCCAGCCAUGCCGCGUGUAUGAAGAAGGCCCUCGGGUUGUAAAGCACUUUCAGUGAGGAAGAACGCCUGGUGGUUAAUACCCAUCAGGAAAGACAUCACUCACAGAAGAAGCACCGGCUAACUCCGUGCCAGCAGCCGCGGUAAUACGGAGGGUGCGAGCGUUAAUCGGAAUUACUGGGCGUAAAGCGCGCGUAGGUGGCUUGAUAAGCCGGUUGUGAAAGCCCCGGGCUCAACCUGGGAACGGCAUCCGGAACUGUCAAGCUAGAGUGCAGGAGAGGAAGGUAGAAUUCCCGGUGUAGCGGUGAAAUGCGUAGAGAUCGGGAGGAAUACCAGUGGCGAAGGCGGCCUUCUGGACUGACACUGACACUGAGGUGCGAAAGCGUGGGUAGCAAACAGGAUUAGAUACCCUUGUAGUC
RNAcentral lists this ribosomal RNA (465 nucleotides) under Vreelandella stevensii. RNAcentral's name for it is "partial 16S ribosomal RNA". It matches the Rfam family "Bacterial small subunit ribosomal RNA", at positions 338 to 795 of the family's 1533-position model. Lineage: Bacteria; Pseudomonadati; Pseudomonadota; Gammaproteobacteria; Oceanospirillales; Halomonadaceae. The record is from RNAcentral.